This 563-nucleotide unclassified non-coding RNA is filed under the name Hevea brasiliensis (rubber tree). The record is from RNAcentral. Lineage: Eukaryota; Viridiplantae; Streptophyta; Magnoliopsida; Malpighiales; Euphorbiaceae.
GGAUUCUGCAAUAAUGCAGUUGGGUCCUGUGAACUGUUGAAGGUGAAAGACGCGGCAAUGUUCCUUUACUAAUUUGUCAGUUCUUGAUUUCUUGAUUGUUUUCCGGCCAAUAGUAUGUAUAAUGGCCUGUAAAAAUUGAAUCCCACAUGCAAGUCAAAAGUCCUUGGCCUUCCUCUGUUUCUCACCAUUUUCUGUCCUCCCUCCUCUCUCCUCUCUCUUCCUCAUUUUCUCUCCUGCAAUUUUCUGAUUUCUUAUUCUCCACUCAGUAUUCCUUCCUCACCAACCUCACCCAAUUCUCUUUGUUUUACCUCUCUCUAUCUCAAAGCUUUCACUUUUCAUCAUAUUCAACAUCUACUGUUACUGCUCCUUAGAUUCUCUCUCUCUAUCUCUCCAUCUCUCUGCGUCGCUAUGCAUAUGCUGGUGGACUGUUCAAACUGCCGCACGCCGUUGCAGCUCCCGCCGGGCGCUAAAUCCAUUCGCUGUGCCAUCUGCCACGCCAUCACUCUCAUCGCGGAUCCUCGCUCUGUUCCACCACCCCCACCUUACUCUUCGUCUGCCCACCA